RNAcentral lists this transfer RNA (74 nucleotides) under Actinomycetota bacterium. RNAcentral's name for it is "Actinobacteria bacterium (freshwater metagenome) tRNA-Val". It matches the Rfam family "tRNA". Rfam says of the family: Transfer RNA (tRNA) molecules are approximately 80 nucleotides in length. Lineage: Bacteria; Bacillati; Actinomycetota. The record is from RNAcentral.
GGGUGCGUAGCUCAGUUGGCGAGAGCGCUGCCCUUACAAGGCAGAGGUCGGGGGUUCGAAGCCCUCCGCACCCA